GAAGCUUCGACUAAGGUUCGACUCGAGCGAAGCGAGAGAACGUUGCCGCAGGCAACGGCCCGAAGGGCGAGGCGCUUUAGCGCCGAGUAAUCCUUCCCCCACCACCA
This 107-nucleotide small RNA is filed under the name Klebsiella pneumoniae. RNAcentral's name for it is "RtT sRNA". It matches the Rfam family "RtT RNA", at positions 26 to 130 of the family's 130-position model. From Rfam's summary of the family: This family represents a bacterial cis-regulatory element known as RtT RNA. The exact function of RtT is unknown although it is thought that it may be involved in changing the cellular response in relation to amino acid starvation. RNAcentral also lists the same sequence under 2 other names. The record is from RNAcentral. Lineage: Bacteria; Pseudomonadati; Pseudomonadota; Gammaproteobacteria; Enterobacterales; Enterobacteriaceae.